This 426-nucleotide long non-coding RNA is filed under the name Brassica napus (rape). RNAcentral describes it as "long non-coding RNA (BNAP_LNC006238)". Lineage: Eukaryota; Viridiplantae; Streptophyta; Magnoliopsida; Brassicales; Brassicaceae. The record is from RNAcentral.
GCUGGAGAAGAAUGACUUUGAGCUCAUUACACUUCAGAAGAUACCUUAUACUGCUGCUUGUAAAAGCUUAUUACAGAUUUAGAUUCGCUGCUCUUCGUUCUUUUUUGGAUCCAGUUUAUAUUUUCUUGCGACUGCUACGCUAAUUUUUCCCGUACAAUAUAUAUUUUAAGCAAGUGUGGAUUCUUCAUAAGAUAUAAGGUAUAGAGUCUGAUCGCUCUUAAAGAAGGAAAAUAAGCUUGAUAACAUCUAGGUAGAACCUAACAAACUUGUUACAAAUGAUAUUGAUGUACCUUGUCUAACUGUGACGAACAAUUAUGGAUUGAUGUUUGCGUUCACGCAGUUUGCAUUCAUGUAAUGUAACGUAAUUAUUCAAAAGAAAAUGAAAAAAAAAGAAUCACAUUUUCAGCUUUGCAUUAUGCAUCUAGG